Molecule: non-coding RNA, 249 nt
Filed under: Alkaliphilus metalliredigens
Lineage: Bacteria; Bacillati; Bacillota; Clostridia; Peptostreptococcales; Natronincolaceae
Description: T-box sequence
Rfam family: T-box leader
About the family: Uncharged tRNA acts as the effector for transcription antitermination of genes in the T-box leader family. T-boxes are found upstream of many aminoacyl-tRNA synthetase genes and some amino acid biosynthetic genes usually in Gram-positive bacteria. The anticodon of a specific tRNA base pairs to a specifier sequence within the T-box motif, and the NCCA acceptor tail of the tRNA base pairs to a conserved bulge in the T-box antiterminator hairpin.
Source: RNAcentral
AGAAAAGCUUCGACGAGGAGGAGUACAUGUAUUUCGAAAGCCUAGAGAGGAAAUGAUGGUGAAAAUUUUCCCUGAGGAAUAUAUGGAAGGUAGCCUUUGAGCUUUGGACCGAAAUUGCAAAAAAGUAGACUUCAACGGAUUCCCACCGUUACAGGGGAAAUAGUAUCGGAGUGAUUCCUGUACUAUCAUUGAGCUGUAUACUUUGUAUAAAAUUAGGUGGUACCGCGGAGUUUAACCUUCGUCCUAUUA